This 265-nucleotide ribosomal RNA is filed under the name uncultured bacterium. RNAcentral describes it as "partial 16S ribosomal RNA". It matches the Rfam family "Bacterial small subunit ribosomal RNA", at positions 793 to 1055 of the family's 1533-position model. The record is from RNAcentral.
GUCCACGCUGUAAACGAUUAAUGUUAGAUGUCGGAGGGAAUACCUUUCGGUAUCGCAGCUAACGCGAUAAACAUUCCGCCUGGGGAGUACGGUCGCAAGAUUAAAACUCAAAGGAAUUGACGGGGACCCGCACAAGCGGUGGAGUAUGUGGUUUAAUUCGAAGCAACGCGCAGAACCUUACCAACCCUUGACAUGGGACGUAUGAGCUAUAGAGAUGUAGUUCUUCAUUUAGGUGGCGUCCACACAGGUGCUGCAUGGCUGUCGU